GUCUACUGGCCAUGAAAGAGUGAAGGUUUUCAAAGAUGCCAGAAAUCAGAAGUUCCCCAGAGAGUUUCCACUUACUUUUUCUCAAGAGGAACAAAUAAUGAAGUCAAUGCUGUGUAAGGAGCCAAAACAACGAGCUGAAGCAAGUGCUCUAAAGGCAGAGCUGGAAAAGUUGGCUCACAUUCUCAACCCUCAAAAAACUGAACAUCAGCAAAAUGUAACAGUCUGACAGUCACACACGCAGGAGGUUAUAAACAUCUGUCUCCUCUGAUUAUACAUUUUGAUGUUAUAUGAUUUUUUUGCAAACGGUUGAUGGCUUUUAUUGUGCUUUAACCUGAGAUCUGUAGCCUACAUACAACUCACACUCAACUACACACACACACACACACACACACACACACACACACACACACACACACACACACACACACACACACACACAAACAGACCGGUUGAAUACACUUAUUGUAAGUCGCUUUGGAUAAAAGCGUCAGGUAAAUGAAAUGUAAUCAAGUGAUAUUUGAUUCAAUAAUGGAAAUGUCUUCUAUGUUAUGUAAAAGUGUUUUAAAUCAUUACAGCCAUUGCUUUGUAUUGAUUAUCAUAAGGGGGAAAUAAAAUUGUGGUUAUCUAUUUGUUA
Molecule: long non-coding RNA, 634 nt
Organism: Hippoglossus stenolepis (Pacific halibut)
Lineage: Eukaryota; Metazoa; Chordata; Actinopteri; Pleuronectiformes; Pleuronectidae
Exons: 3
Source: RefSeq, a predicted model, not a curated record